Molecule: ribosomal RNA, 403 nt
Filed under: uncultured bacterium
Lineage: Bacteria
Description: partial 16S ribosomal RNA
Rfam family: Bacterial small subunit ribosomal RNA
Source: RNAcentral
AUUGAACGCUGGCGGCAGGCCUAACACAUGCAAGUAGAGCGAGCGGCGGACGGGGGAGUAAUGUAUGGGGACUGCCCGAUCGAGGGGGAUAACUACUGGAAACGGUAGCUACUACCGCAUACUAUCGGAUAACCCAUAUGGGAUUAGCUAGUAGGUGAGGUAAUGGCUCACCUAGGCGACGAUCCCUAGCUGGUCUGUGAGGAUGAUCAGGCACACUAGAAGUUGGACACGGACCAGACUCCGACGGAGGCAACGGUGGGGAAUAUUGGACAAUGGGCACAAGCCUGAUGCAACCAUGCCGCGGGUGUGAAGAAGGCCUUCGAGUUGUAAAGCACUUUCAGCGAGGAGGCAUUGCUCGCAGAAGAAGCACCGGCGAACUCCGUACCAGCAGCCGCGGUAAUUC